RNAcentral lists this ribosomal RNA (426 nucleotides) under uncultured bacterium. RNAcentral describes it as "bacterial SSU rRNA". It matches the Rfam family "Bacterial small subunit ribosomal RNA", at positions 917 to 1344 of the family's 1533-position model. The record is from RNAcentral.
GGGCCCGCACAAGCGGUGGAGCAUGUGGUUUAAUUCGAUGAUACGCGAGGAACCUUACCAGGGCUUAAAUGUAGUAUGACCGGCUUGGAAACAGGCCUUCUCUUCGGAGCAGAUUACAAGGUGCUGCAUGGUUGUCGUCAGCUCGUGCCGUGAGGUGUUAGGUUAAGUCCUGCAACGAGCGCAACCCCUAUUCUUAGUUGCCAGCGGUUCGGCCGGGGACUCUAAGAAGACUGCCAGCGCAAGCUGAGAGGAAGGUGGGGAUGACGUCAAAUCAUCACGGCCCUUACGUCCUGGGCUACACACGUGCUACAAUGGUAGAGACAGAGGGCAGCAAGUUCGCGAGGACAAGCAAAUCCCAUAAACCGUGGCUCAGUUCAGAUCGUAGGCUGCAACUCGCCUACGUGAAGGCGGAAUCGCUAGUAAUCG